GAUGAAGAACGUAGCGAAAUGCGAUAAAUAAUGUGAAUUGCAGAAUUCAGUGAAUCAUCGAGUCUUUGAACGCACAUUGCGCCCCCCGGUAUUCCGGGGGGCAUGCCUGUCCGAGCGUCAUUGCUGCCCUCAAGCACGGCUUGUGUGUUGGGCCCCCGUCCCCCCCUCCCGGGGGACGGGCCCGAAAGGCAGCGGCGGCACCGCGUCCGGUCCUCGAGCGUAUGGGGCUUUGUCACCCGCUCUGUAGGCCCGGCCGGCGCCUGCCGACCACCAUCAAUCUUUUUUCAGGUUGACCUCGGAUCAGGUAGGGAUACCCGCUGAACUUAAGCAUAUCAAUAAGCGGAGGA
RNAcentral lists this unclassified non-coding RNA (347 nucleotides) under soil metagenome. Its description in RNAcentral is "partial contains 5.8S ribosomal RNA, internal transcribed spacer 2, and large subunit ribosomal RNA". The stretch from base 1 to 120 matches the Rfam family "5.8S ribosomal RNA", at positions 35 to 154 of the family's 154-position model. The record is from RNAcentral.